GGGCAGACACUUGAAUGCCUCAUGAAAAUUAGAUUAGCAUUACAGGUAUUCUUCUGAUCUAAAUUUAUUUUAUUGUACUUUGAUUGAUAUAGUCAAGAGUUUCUGGGUAUUAGGAUUUUCGGUGCAUCAGGUAUUUUUAAUAAAAAUUUUAAACACCUAAUCCUUUCGCUGUGCCACUGAAAUCUAACAGUGGUAUCAAAGCCUACUU
RNAcentral lists this long non-coding RNA (208 nucleotides) under Elaeis guineensis (African oil palm). Its description in RNAcentral is "long non-coding RNA (EGUI_LNC052400)". Lineage: Eukaryota; Viridiplantae; Streptophyta; Magnoliopsida; Arecales; Arecaceae. The record is from RNAcentral.